RNAcentral lists this transfer RNA (74 nucleotides) under Synechococcus phage S-PM2. It matches the Rfam family "tRNA". Rfam says of the family: Transfer RNA (tRNA) molecules are approximately 80 nucleotides in length. Their secondary structure includes four short double-helical elements and three loops (D, anti-codon, and T loops). Further hydrogen bonds mediate the characteristic L-shaped molecular structure. tRNAs have two regions of fundamental functional importance: the anti-codon, which is responsible for specific mRNA codon recognition, and the 3' end, to which the tRNAs corresponding amino acid is attached (by aminoacyl-tRNA synthetases). tRNAs cope with the degeneracy of the genetic code in two manners: having more than one tRNA (with a specific anti-codon) for a particular amino acid; and 'wobble' base-pairing, i.e. permitting non-standard base-pairing at the 3rd anti-codon position. Lineage: Duplodnaviria; Heunggongvirae; Uroviricota; Caudoviricetes; Pantevenvirales; Kyanoviridae. The record is from Rfam by way of RNAcentral.
GCUCUCUUAGCUCAGUGGAACAGAGCGUUUGGCUACGAACCAAAAGGUCACAGGUUCAAAUCCUGUAGGGGGCU